Molecule: long non-coding RNA, 2815 nt
Organism: Cervus elaphus (red deer)
Lineage: Eukaryota; Metazoa; Chordata; Mammalia; Artiodactyla; Cervidae
Exons: 6
Source: RefSeq, a predicted model, not a curated record
GGCUCGAGAGGCAGGGAAGCGGCCCAGGGCCCCGCCCGCCCGCAUGACUCCCGAGCUGGCCGCGAGGGUGGGGAGAGACCAACAGCCCUCACCGAGGGAGGCCGCGGCCGCCAGGGGGAGGUGGCUGCGUGGGGGCAGUAACGGGAGAGGGGGCCCGAGUUCUGAAAGCCCCGGGCUGUAAAACGUUUGGGUCCAGAAUGAAACUCUGAUCCACAGAAGCUUUCCUUGCCCUGCGCUCUAACCUCUGCUGGUGUCUGGAAGCGGGUAGACUGGAGGAUUCUAAAGAGUUUGAGGUUGUGUAACUAUCCAGAAACACACGAUAGAGUCCUCUUUCAGCAAGUAUUCUUGGUUAAGUCAUGAAAAUGGAGCUUGUUUUCCCCCUUUGUAUGAUAAUAUAAUCGGAACUUCUCUGUUUACCUGAAAAUCACAUCAUAGACAAGUUAAAAAUGUGGAAAGCGCUAUUCAAGGACUGUGGGAACAGAGACACGACACUUUCACCAAAACUCCAGGCUCCUGUAAAGUUGAUCUGGUGAAAGGAAGUGAGAUUUUUGUCUCUGACCCCAGGAGUUAUCAGCUCAUGUUUACAAGCUAAGGGACUGGUCUCCUUCAAUGUUGAUCCUGAACAUCUUUAACUGCUUAUAUCACUCACAUGUGAUGCAGUUAACUACUUGUUCAUAAAGAGGUGUGAUACACAUGUUUCACAAUUAGCAGCUCUGUACUAAACAAAGCCAGACAGAGGCCCAUUAAAGCUGUCUGCUGCCUCCUCUCACAGACGCUGAGCUAGACCAGUGAACAGUCACCUUGGUAAGAGAGACUGUGACAAGAAGAUGAAUGUAGCAACAAUUGCGGAGCUCCCAAAAAUCACGUUUUCAACAAACCUGACCCACCAACAGAAAACCUAAUGAAGGAAUCCCCACAGAAAGGAUUUUAUGCAAACCUGCACAAAUACAUUUAACAUGCUCUAGGCAAAGAAUACCUCUUUGUCUAUUUCCAACACAUGGCCUAUAUCUACUGUUGCCCAGUCACAAAAGGAACUCUAAUGCAAAAAAAUUUCCACCUUCAGAGAACUGACAACUAAAAGCACACUCUAUGUAAGGCUUCUAUCUUUAAAUGGGUAACAAAGGAAAUGCCAAGACUGGGUCCACUAGAAACCGCAUCAAGGUCAACAGCGAUAACCAGACUACAAACUCAAGACUGGGAGUUAAUUUACACUUGUAGCUUUCAGGUAAAGAACAUUUCCUGUAGUUGAUUCCCACAGCCAAGACCAACUUGGAUUUCUCUAGAAAAUAGGAACUUCAAAGACCAUAAAAGCAGGUAUGAUUCACAGCUGAGAUCAAUUCCCAGUUAGUCAAAACUCCAUACAGCUGGGCUCCUGAGGCUAAAGGGUUUUCUCAAUACCCAACUAAAAGUGAUUCGGGCGAAGCCUGCCUGGGGUACUGGGUAAAGGGGUUCGUGAUGCAAGGUUAUUCCGUGUGGAUAUCAAAGACAACAGAAAUGAGGAGAGGGCCCGGUACAGAAUGCUGAACAGCGUCAGGCCCCAGAGGAGUCUGACAUCUGGGAGAAGCACCUACUCCGGCGGAAGUACUAGAGAUCCAGAAUACAAGUUUCAGGAGAAACAAAGGGUCUUCGGAGGGUCAGGUCAUUUAGUUUCCCAUUAAUGAAGAGCCCCGAACAGGGUCUGUCUUAACCUUUCUGCCACCAUUCGCUGGAAAUGCACACACCCUCCUGCUUGCUCCGUCAAGACUGACCCCACUGCCUGGAGGGGGGAGCCAUAGCCGUGGUCGUUCCGGAAAGCCAGCGUGCAAGACAAUUUGGAUAAAGUCGUCCUUAAGCCAAUGCUUAAAUCCAAUGCCCACGGGCCGUACUUAGUUCUCUAGUCUAAAAGCAUUUCUUCAAAAGCCAGGAUACCCACCUUCACUACAUCUCCAGCCACCUGAUCUGUAAAGUACCGCAAAGUUGUUGGCUGUUCCCCUGUUAACUCCGGGAAUCCGCUCUGGCAACUGUUUUUCAUUAUCUUUCUACCAAACUCCUUAAAACAGGUGCAUGUCUUCAAACACUGGUAGUGCUUGUCCAUGAAAUUUCUGCCUAACACCUGGAACUUGCCAUCCAGGAUGACAUCCUUUAAACAGCCAAGUACAACACCCUAUUCUGCAUCCAAGGAGGAGGAGAUGGGUGGUCCGCACAAACCAAGCCUGACUCAAGCUUGUCGCAGCCUUAGCUGCAUCCUUGGAUCGGAUCGCCGGAAGUGGCGUCUGCGCCUGCACCGAGGCGGGGCCUCGACUAGUUCGGCGGUGGCCACGUGCCUGCCAGGUUCUGCAGGUCGGUUACCGACAGAUGAGGAGCAGGUUUAUUAAAUAAUAGGGAAAGACCCUCACUAAAGGAGUUUUAUGUAAGUAUUUCAGAAUACUUAAUAUAAAUAUCUGAGAAGAUUCUCUAAAACGAAUGGCAGUAGAAAUGUUGGAUGCUAGUGACUGGAUUGAAAAUGGUGUUAUCUUGAAGGAAUAUUUAUUUUGCAGUUUGAAAGUUCUGUGAUCCCAGAAUAUACUUUUGGGGAAAAAAAAAAAACCCCAAUUCUCAAAACUCAGUAGUUUAAAAAAUCCAGUUAUAAAGUUAGCCAAAGAGAUGAACAGAUAUUUCCGCAAAAGAGAUAUAAUGGCACAUGAGAGGAGAUUCAGUAUCAUUCAGCUAGGUUCAGUCGCUCAGUCCUGACAGACUCUUUGCGACCCCAUGGACUGCAGCACGCCAGCUUCCCUGUCCAUCACCAACUCCUGGAGCUUGCUCAAACUCAUGUCCAUCGAGUCGGUGAUGCCACCCA